GGCGAUGUAGCUCAGCUGGUUAGAGCACGCGACUCAUAAUCGCGGUGUCGGCGGUUCAAGUCCGCCCAUCGCCACCA
RNAcentral lists this transfer RNA (77 nucleotides) under Methylobacterium sp. Its description in RNAcentral is "tRNA-Met". It matches the Rfam family "tRNA". Rfam says of the family: Transfer RNA (tRNA) molecules are approximately 80 nucleotides in length. Their secondary structure includes four short double-helical elements and three loops (D, anti-codon, and T loops). Further hydrogen bonds mediate the characteristic L-shaped molecular structure. tRNAs have two regions of fundamental functional importance: the anti-codon, which is responsible for specific mRNA codon recognition, and the 3' end, to which the tRNAs corresponding amino acid is attached (by aminoacyl-tRNA synthetases). tRNAs cope with the degeneracy of the genetic code in two manners: having more than one tRNA (with a specific anti-codon) for a particular amino acid; and 'wobble' base-pairing, i.e. permitting non-standard base-pairing at the 3rd anti-codon position. The record is from RNAcentral. Lineage: Bacteria; Pseudomonadati; Pseudomonadota; Alphaproteobacteria; Hyphomicrobiales; Methylobacteriaceae. RNAcentral also lists the same sequence under 1 other name.